Molecule: long non-coding RNA, 435 nt
Organism: Corvus hawaiiensis (hawaiian crow)
Lineage: Eukaryota; Metazoa; Chordata; Aves; Passeriformes; Corvidae
Exons: 2
Source: RefSeq, a predicted model, not a curated record
AUCUUUGCGAUCACCGAGUCCAAGCUGUGCCCGAUGCCCGCCUUGUCCCCAGCCCAGAGCCCUGAGUGCCACCUCCAGGCCUCGGACACCUCCAGGGAUGGGCAUUCCAAACCUCCCCGGGCAGUUCCGAGGCCUGAGCGCCCUUUCCAUGAGGAAAUUCCCGCUGGUGUCCAACGCGAGCCUCCCCUGGCCCAGCCUGAGGCCGUUCCCUCUCCUCCUGUCCCUGUUCCUGGCAGCAGAGCUCCACCCUGAGCCACCCUGUGCCCCCUCUGGUGUUCCCUGUGACCCUCCAGGUGUGUCCCCAUAUUCCCUGAGACCCUCACCUGACCUCAGGUCCCCCAUCCCGGGCAGAGGGGACACUCCUGGGAGAGCCCCGAGCUCUGUGCCUGAGGCAAAGCUCCACCAAGAGGGAAAUAAAUCCAUAACUUUUAUUUC